CCCCCACUCUCUCCCCUCUCCCCACUCUCUCCCUUCUCUCUCUCCACUCUCUCCCCACUCCCCCCACCCACCUCUCCCACCACCACCAUCACCGUCCGUUUAUAAUUUCGUGAGAAGUUUUUGUUCAUUUCUCGCUGCCGCCCCUCCGCCCGCCCGCCACUCCGUUCUCAUGUGGCGACGACGAAACGGGGGACCGCUCCGUCUCCCGUGGUGUCCGUCGCACGUCGCCAACAGCGCUCCCGCACGCCAACAGCGCGUACACACACGCACGUGUGUACGCAGGUACGUACGUACGUACACACGCACGUACCUGCGUGCGUGUGUACGCAGGUACGUGUGUACGCAGGUACGUACGUACACACGCACGUGCCUGCGUGCGUGUGUACGCAGGUACGUAGGCACGCCAAUAGCACGCACGCGCGUACCUGCGUGCGUGUGUACGCAGGUACGUGCGUACACACGCGCGUACCUGCGUGCGUGUGUACGCAGGUACGUACGUACGUACACAGGCACGUACCUGCGUGCGUGUGUACGCAGGUACGUGCGUACACAGGCGCGUACCUGCGUGCGUGCGUACGCAGGCACGCCAAUAGCACGCAUGCACGUACCUGCGUACGUACGUAGGCACGCCAAUAGCGCGCGUACUUACCUGCGCGCGUACUUACCUGCGCGCGUGUGUACGCACGUCACGCCAAUGGCUGGCUGGUUGGCGAGUUUCUUUUGUGUCGCGAUUUUUCGAACGCGGCGGCGGUGGCGGCGGCUGCGUUGUUAUUGUUUACAACUUUCGUGUUGACGACGGUUAAUUAUCACCGUGGUGAGGAGGAGGAGGAGGAUGAGGGUCAGGGGGAGUUGUGUUUAACAGCGAGUUAUAAUGAUCUCUAUCUCUCUCUCUCUCUGUGCGUUUUUUUUUUAAGUUCGUGAAGGAAAUUUCGAUUUGUUUUCCGCGUGAACGUCGAUCGCGCGGUGCGGCGAGCAUCACCCCCUCCCCUCCCCCGUCCAACCCACCUCUAUUUAUUUUUGUGUACUUUCUACUCGUAAGGAUUUAAACAAACUGAAAUUGAAUCCAUAUUUUGGUAUUUUUCUCUCUCUGUGUGUGUCUCUCUCUCUGUUCUCCCCUCCCUCUCUCUCUCUCCCUCUCUCUCUCGUGUCCACCGCUCGGCCUGGGUUGAGUCUCGCCGCUUAUCGAAAUAAAACGAGGAAUGAAAUCGCG
Petromyzon marinus (sea lamprey) is the source of this 1210-nucleotide non-coding RNA. The record is from RefSeq and is a predicted model, not a curated record. Lineage: Eukaryota; Metazoa; Chordata; Hyperoartia; Petromyzontiformes; Petromyzontidae.